RNAcentral lists this RNase P RNA (392 nucleotides) under Acanthopleuribacter pedis. RNAcentral describes it as "Bacterial RNase P class A". It matches the Rfam family "Bacterial RNase P class A". Rfam says of the family: Ribonuclease P (RNase P) is a ubiquitous endoribonuclease, found in archaea, bacteria and eukarya as well as chloroplasts and mitochondria. Its best characterised activity is the generation of mature 5'-ends of tRNAs by cleaving the 5'-leader elements of precursor-tRNAs. Cellular RNase Ps are ribonucleoproteins. Lineage: Bacteria; Pseudomonadati; Acidobacteriota; Holophagae; Acanthopleuribacterales; Acanthopleuribacteraceae. The record is from Rfam by way of RNAcentral.
UGGGACCUUCGGGUUGUCGCGGUGUGGCUUGACUGCACCGAGGAAAGUCCGAGCACCAUAGGGUAGUAUGCUGGUUAACGGCCAGGCGGGGGAACCCGACGGCAAGUGCAACAGAGAGUAGACCGCCGAACUCGCGUCUUCGGGCGUGGGUGGUAAGGGUGAAAGGGUGGGGUAAGAGCCCACCAGCACGGGUAGUGAUACACGUGGCUGGGUAAACCCCAUACGGUGCAAGACUAAAUAGGGAAACAGGGCAUCCCAGAGGUGUCGAGAAGUGACCCGCUUCUGGUUUCCGGGUAAGUCGCUUGAGGGGGUCGGUAACGGCCUUCCCAGAUGAAUGACAACCGGCUCGUUUCGGCGAGUUACAGGACUCGGCUUAUAGAAGGUCCCACGUC